GACUUUGCAAGAGUCGCCCACGUGCAAACACGUUUCCUUUGGAGCAUUAAAGAUGGCUGGUCUUCUACGAGUGAGAGGAGCUUCUCAAGUGGUUCAAGUGUGCAGAGAAGGAGAGAAGGUCCUUCGUGGAGCCUCCAUGAAGGAUAUAGCAGUGAUACAGGGAGAGAAUGGAAGAGGAGUUGGGCUGGUUGUGGACGGGAACGGACUGAUUGCAGAUUUGGGUUUUGAUGAUGUUUUGGAUGCUAAAUACUCUGACUGGUCAUUCAAAGAGACAGUCUUGGCUAAUGGAUCCUCUGUGUUGCCUGGUUUUGUGGACGCCCACACGCACCCAGUGUGGGUUGGGGACAGAGUGAAUGAAUUUGCUAUGAAAUUAGCUGGUGCCACAUACAUGGAUAUACAUAAAUCAGGUGGUGGAAUCAACUUCACUGUACAGUGCGUACGUAGUGCUACACACAAGGAACUCUAUGACCCGUUAGUCCAAAGACUCUGGUCAAUGAUGAGAUGUGGUACGACUACAGUUGAAGCUAAAUCAGGCUAUGGGCUGGAGACCGAGUCUGAAGUGAAGAUGCUUGAAGUUCUAAAUAAUGCCCGUCAAGAGCAUCCAAUGGAUCUUUCUAUAACUUACUGUGGAGCACAUGCAGUACCUAGAGGAUUAUCUUCUGACGAAGCAACACUAUCCAUUAUUGAGGAACAGAUCCCGACUAUCAGUGACCUUUCAUCAAAAGGUCAAAUCCACGUUGACAACAUUGACGUAUUUUGUGAGAAAGGUGUCUUUGAUCUGGAGCAGUCUCGAAGGAUACUAGCAGCCGGAAAGAGAGAGGGAUGGAGGAUAAAUUUCCACGGCGACGAACUUCACCCAAUGGGAUCUGGAGAGUUGGCUGGAGAGUUAGAAGCAGCUGCUGUGAGUCACCUUGAGGAGAUCAGUGAUGCUGGGAUUGCUGCUAUGUCCCAGUGUGGCUCCAUCGGUGUCCUUCUACCCACUACUGCUUACAUGUUACGACUGAGGCAGCCUCCUGCUAGGAAGAUGAUUGAAAAAGGCAUGGCUAUAGCACUUGGUAGUGAUUUCAAUCCCAACGCUUACUGUUAUUCAAUGCCAUUAGUGAUGCAUUUAGCUUGUGUUAAUCUUCGUCUCUCAAUGGAGGAGUCACUGGUUGCUGCUACCAUCAAUGCAGCUGCUGCUCUUGGCCUCUCUGAUGUAUGUGGUUCUAUUGAAGUUGGAAAAAAAGCCGAUUUAGUGAUACUCUCUGCUCCCAAGUGGGAGAAUAUCAUAUACCAGUUUGGUUGUCAUCGGGAUUGCAUUCAACAUGUUAUAAAGGAGGGUAACAUUGUUUACAGCACAAAAGAAGAAGCCAUUGAUGUCUCUUAGCCGUGUCUUAGCUAUGUACACAAUGCACUGGGUGUGAGUGUUUCUUUAGGUAAUUUUCUGAAACCUGUAUAUGCAUGUUGCCUUGAAAUGAAUUGCAACAAACGUGCUGAUUUUACGGUUUGGAAUUUCUCGUUUCUUUAGUGGGCGUUGUGUUGUUAAUUUUUUGUUAGCUCUCUUUUUCCCAUCUCUUGCAAUGUGUUUAAUAUUUUGUGUUUGUAUUCCUUUUAGAAUUACAAAGAUGAAAAUAGCAGAAUAUUUUGUGUUUUUUUAUACUAAUGUUACAGAAACACUAAACAAUUCCUUCGUUAAUGUACAACUUUUUGUUACUUUAACAAAAAGAAAGAUAAUGCACGUGUAUGUACAUGUAUGUACUUAUAGUACAUGUAUUGUAUGUUAAUUCUUUGAACUGACUCACUCAUUUAUGUCAUCACUCACGUUUGCACUCAAUAAAAUAACAAUUUCAAAGUAUUGUGUAUAGUAAAAGUAAA
This is an RNA transcript of Amphimedon queenslandica, 1854 nucleotides long. It is a transcript of the gene named probable imidazolonepropionase, with no coding region annotated. The transcript is spliced from 9 exons. NCBI's taxonomy places the organism in Eukaryota, Metazoa, Porifera, Demospongiae, Haplosclerida, Niphatidae. The record is from RefSeq and is a predicted model, not a curated record.